UGCGAGUGAGCGGGAAAAGCUCAAAUUUGAAAUCUGGCGGUCCUUGGCCGUCCGAGUUGUAAUCUAGAGAAGUGUUACCCGCGCUGGACCGUGUACAAGUCUCCUGGAAUGGAGCGUCAUAGAGGGUGAGAAUCCCGUCUCUGACACGGACUCCCAGGGCUUUGUGGUAUGCUCUCAAAGAGUCGAGUUGUUUGGGAAUGCAGCUCAAAAUGGGUGGUAAAUUCCAUCUAAAGCUAAAUAUUGGCGAGAGACCGAUAGCGAACAAGUACCGUGAGGGAAAGAUGAAAAGAACUUUGGAAAGAGAGUUAAACAGUACGUGAAAUUGCUGAAAGGGAAACGCUUGAAGUCAGUCGCGUUGGCCAGGGAUCAGCCUCGCAUUUGCGUGGUGCACUUUCUGGUUGACGGGUCAGCAUCAAUUUUGGUCACUGGAAAAAGUCCUGAGGAAUGUGGCAGCUCCGGCUGUGUUAUAGCCUCUGGUCGUAUACAGUGGUUGGGAUUGAGGAACUCAGCACGCCGCAAGGCCGGGUUUCGACCACGUUCGUGCUUAGGAUGCUGGCAUAAUGGCUUUAAGCGACCCGUCUUAA
RNAcentral lists this ribosomal RNA (584 nucleotides) under Echinoderma asperum. Its description in RNAcentral is "eukaryotic LSU rRNA". It matches the Rfam family "Eukaryotic large subunit ribosomal RNA", at positions 88 to 657 of the family's 3401-position model. Lineage: Eukaryota; Fungi; Basidiomycota; Agaricomycetes; Agaricales; Agaricaceae. The record is from RNAcentral.